UGGGAGUGGGCAGGUGUGGUGCGAUGGCAAGAGAGGCGUGGGGUGCGGGACACCCUGCAGAUUGAGGGAGUCUCCGAGUUGCCAUCAGCUGGUGGAGAGGCCUUUCAUGGCUGCCAAGGGUCUCUCGAACUGAGGGACCACUUCCAAGAGCCAAGAAUGAGUCCUGCACGUAUUCUUAGGCAAUGAGCCUCCCGAUGGGCCAGUCCCCCGCCCACACUUCGGUGAGAAACGAAUGAUUCUACCAGUUCCUCACGGAGAAGUGCCAGGAGGGCUGAGCAAGGUUUCCGGGUGUCCUCCAGCAGUGGACAGUGGGCCUGGGAACAGGCUGGUGUGCCGGUGGCGGCACGUGUCCAGGCCUGUUGGCGAGACUUUUGUCACUGUGGAGAAAACGCAAACGCAGUAGUGGGAUGAGCAGAGCACUUGGGCUUAGAGACCCGCACGGGCUGUGUGAUCACAGACAGUCUCUUCUUCCAGCCUCCAUUGCACGAGCUGCUUUUGAAGAGUCCUUCCAAGUCUGUCCAGCCCCGGCCCAGGUCCCACUGCCCAGUCUGCUGGGGCUUGGGGUGUUCUGUCCGCAACUUGACAACCUGCUGACUGGUGGGAUGCAGAGAUGGGGAGAGUUUCUCAGAGGCCUCUUCUUUGCACACUCUUCGUCUUCGGCUCCUCUUGACCCAACAGGAAGAUCAGCAAAACUUGAGCUCCUGAAGCCAGACCAAGUGUCCAGAGUCCUCAAGACCUUUGGGUGCUGCAAGGGAGCAGAGUUGUCAUCUGCAUGUUGCAAUUGAACCGCUUUCUCCAGAACACUUGGGGCUAAGCUUGCCCCUUCUGAGGCAGGAAUUGGGAUUUCACUUCAUUUCCUGGAGAUUUAACCCUAAGCUGUGGUUGCCUUGUGAGUGGAAAAGACAAGGAUGCAUUGUCCAGUGGAUAAUGCCAGAAGUGAGGAUUGUAUUAAUACAAAAUGGGUUCUUGAGCUCUCCAUGCCAAGUGGGAGACUCCACUGUGUCCAUAAACUCAUAUUGAUCUGACUUGGAUGGAGCACUGUGUGUCCCUGUGGGUCCCAAAGUGUAUGUACCUCUGUGGAAGAUGAGAUUUUGCUUUUUGGAUGGAGGGCAACUGCUACUAUUAACUGCCACCCAAGGUCCGUCUAGUCAAAGCUAUGGUUUUUCCAGUAGUCAUGUAUGGA
Molecule: long non-coding RNA, 1183 nt
Filed under: Capra hircus (goat)
Lineage: Eukaryota; Metazoa; Chordata; Mammalia; Artiodactyla; Bovidae
Description: lncRNA (ENSCHIG00010002202.1)
Source: RNAcentral